Chinchilla lanigera (long-tailed chinchilla) is the source of this 448-nucleotide long non-coding RNA. RefSeq lists it as uncharacterized. Lineage: Eukaryota; Metazoa; Chordata; Mammalia; Rodentia; Chinchillidae. The transcript has 2 exons. The record is from RefSeq and is a predicted model, not a curated record.
CCCCCUACCAUCCUCUAGCUUUAAUUCGUUUGGACCCGCUGUGUCCUGCAGCAGCGGAGCCCAUGGGGCUGGGAAGUGCUUUCUUAACCCGCGGUAGUGCGUUGGACUUCGUGAUGCCUAGAUGAGGCGGAAGGGGGUACCAGGACCUAGUGUCAAUGGAUGGACCAAGGACCUGGAUGCAAGCCAGGGCUCCCUGGGUCAGGGGCAGCCGGAUUUGCUGGAAAAAGAUGCUUCUAAAGGCGAACACACACGUAAUACACCAACUCCCUUUCUGCCCUGGUCUAGUGACUCCUUUCAUGAAAGAUCUCUGAAAUGUUAUCUGCAUUUACACCCAAACUCACUUGCUUUGAUCCUUGAAACGCGAAUCAAAGAUCACAUUGUACCUUGCCUGGGUGUAUGGGGCUUUCAGUCGCCUGGGCCAAAAAUAAUAAAAAUGGCACCCAGCCAG